GACGCGAGCUGUCCGCCUCCUACGAUGUCGCGAGAAGUCCACUGAACCUUAUCAUUUAGAGGAAUGAGAAGUCAUAACAAGGUUUCCGUAGGUGAACCUGCGGAAGGAUCAUUG
RNAcentral lists this ribosomal RNA (114 nucleotides) under Eugeissona tristis. RNAcentral describes it as "partial 18S ribosomal RNA". It matches the Rfam family "Eukaryotic small subunit ribosomal RNA", at positions 1719 to 1831 of the family's 1831-position model. The record is from RNAcentral. Lineage: Eukaryota; Viridiplantae; Streptophyta; Magnoliopsida; Arecales; Arecaceae.